Long non-coding RNA from Notolabrus celidotus (New Zealand spotty), 268 nucleotides. RefSeq lists it as uncharacterized. The record is from RefSeq and is a predicted model, not a curated record. NCBI's taxonomy places the organism in Eukaryota, Metazoa, Chordata, Actinopteri, Labriformes, Labridae. The transcript has 3 exons.
GGACUCGUUGUGAAGUUAUUCAUGCCCCGGAUAAUUAACACGAAUGGUUUUGAGCUUUUAAAUGGGAGUUCAUGAUAAGCUGUGUGAGGUUAACCAGUGUUAGCCCACCCAACAGUGAGGGAGAGAGAGAGAGAGAGCAGCGUUAGCUCCAUGGGUCAGUGAAGUGCAACAUGAGAGAUCCCUGCAGAAAUCAUCACAUGGAUUUACAAAUCUAACCUUUAUGGAAAACUUUGAGACAGGACUGCUGAAGAGAGACAGGAAAUGUGGG